UGAGGAAUAUUGGGCAAUGCCCGCAAGGGUGACCCAGCAACGCCGCGUGGAGGAUGAAUGUCGUAAGAUUGUAAACUCCUGUUAGAGGGGAAGAAUAGUACCGGUUGGACCGGUAUAUGACUGUACCCUCAGAGAAAGCCCCGGCUAACUACGUGCCAGCAGCCGCGGUAAUACGUAGGGGGCAAGCGUUGUCCGGAUUUACUGGGUGUAAAGGGCGCGCAGGCGGGAUAAAAAGUCAGUGGUGAAAUCCUACAGCUUAACUGUAGAAAGGCCUUUGAUACUUUUAUUCUUGACUUCGGGAGAGAGAGACGGAAUUCCAGGUGUAGUGGUGAAAUACGUAGAUAUCUGGAAGAACACCAGGUGCGAAGGCGGUCUCUUGGUCCGACACUGACGCUGAGGCGCGAAAGCGUGGGGAGCAAACA
This 422-nucleotide ribosomal RNA is filed under the name uncultured bacterium. RNAcentral describes it as "bacterial SSU rRNA". It matches the Rfam family "Bacterial small subunit ribosomal RNA", at positions 355 to 774 of the family's 1533-position model. The record is from RNAcentral.